CCUACGGGAGGCAGCAGUGGGGAAUUUUGGACAAUGGGCGCAAGCCUGAUCCAGCCAUUCCGCGUGCAGGAUGAAGGCCCUCGGGUUGUAAACUGCUUUUGUACGGAACGAAACGCGCCGGGUUAAUACCUCGGCGUAAUGACGGUACCGUAAGAAUAAGCACCGGCUAACUACGUGCCAGCAGCCGCGGUAAUACGUAGGGUGCAAGCGUUAAUCGGAAUUACUGGGCGUAAAGCGUGCGCAGGCGGUGAUGUAAGACAGAUGUGAAAUCCCCGGGCUCAACCUGGGAACUGCAUUUGUGACUGCAUCGCUGGAGUGCGGCAGAGGGGGAUGGAAUUCCGCGUGUAGCAGUGAAAUGCGUAGAUAUGCGGAGGAACACCGAUGGCGAAGGCAAUCCCCUGGGCCUGCACUGACGCUCAUGCACGAAAGCGUGGGGAGCA
This 440-nucleotide ribosomal RNA is filed under the name uncultured bacterium. RNAcentral describes it as "bacterial SSU rRNA". It matches the Rfam family "Bacterial small subunit ribosomal RNA", at positions 338 to 770 of the family's 1533-position model. The record is from RNAcentral.